UUGGCCAAGCUGAGAGAUCUGAAGUCCAGGGAAUUGUUUUGCUCUACAUUCAACUGCCUCUGGAGCUGAGCAAAUGUGAUAACCAGCAGCAAUGAUGUUCUUAAUGGAUUCAUUAUCUCCACCUUUAGAGCCAGACGUUGGCUGACCAAGGUUGAUCCAGUCUGACCACACACAUGUUUCUUCACCACUGCAUUGGGUAGGUGUUACUCCUGUUGAAGUUGAUGUAGGAGUAGUGGUUGGAGUUGUACUAGGGCUGGGAGUCUGAGUUGUUGUUUUUGUUGUAGGUGGAGCUGUCGAUGUUGAGGUUGUAGUAGUGGGUGUAGGAGUAGUGACGAGAGGAACUGUUGUUGUUGCGGUGGUUGGGAAGUGUGUUGUGGUUCCACAUU
This is a long non-coding RNA of Oncorhynchus keta (chum salmon), 386 nucleotides long. RefSeq lists it as uncharacterized. The transcript has 3 exons. The record is from RefSeq and is a predicted model, not a curated record. NCBI's taxonomy places the organism in Eukaryota, Metazoa, Chordata, Actinopteri, Salmoniformes, Salmonidae.